Molecule: ribosomal RNA, 406 nt
Filed under: uncultured bacterium
Lineage: Bacteria
Description: bacterial SSU rRNA
Rfam family: Bacterial small subunit ribosomal RNA
Source: RNAcentral
UGGACUUGACAUCUCGGAGAUUUUUUAGAGAUAAGAAAGUGCCUUUCGGGGAAUCCGAAGACAGGUGCUGCAUGGCUGUCGUCAGCUCGUGCCGUGAGGUGUUCGGUUAAGUCCGGCAACGAGCGCAACCCUUAUCUUCAGUUACCAUCAUUAAGUUGGGGACUCUGGAGAGACUGCCCGGGUUAACCGGGAGGAAGGUGGGGAUGACGUCAAGUCCUCAUGGCCCUUAUGUCCAGGGCUACACACGUGCUACAAUGGCAGGAACAGAGGGAAGCGAGACCGCGAGGUGGAGCAAAUCCCACAAAUCCUGUCCCAGUUCGGAUAGGAGUCUGCAACUCGACUCCUUGAAGUUGGAAUCGCUAGUAAUCGCGGAUCAGCAUGCCGCGGUGAAUACGUUCCCAGGCCU